ACACUGCGAAGCGCUCUGACCUUAGACCGAGCAAUUAAUCACCAAUAAAAAGAAAAAAAUAGUGAAUAAAAUAGAAGGGUGUGGACAUUCUUUGGGACCUUGGCUUUUAGUGGGACUUGAGUGACGGGGUGUUAGUUUUAAACUUUUACGAUUCUUGAUGGGGAUUCUGUGGAAGUAGUAGUUUUUGUCUUGUCUCAAGAAAAGAGCAUGCUUGCACACACUGGCACUCCACACUUGUAAAUAGAAGAGUAAUUGACUUAGUAGCGAGAGAGAUGAAAUUUGAGAACAUUAGCACAAUCUGAGGUAUUAUAAUUGGCAAGGCAAUUACUUCAUAGUUCACUCAUUCAUCACGUAGUUGCAUUCAUGCAUUGCAUUGUAUUAUUGUAUAGUGUCGUUGACGCUUGAGGACAAGCAUCAGUUUAAGUUUGGGGGUGUGAUAAGUGGUAUUUAUACACACUUAUAGGCCUUCAUUUCCACUUAAAUUGGUUGGUUGUACUUAAGUGUUUAGUGUCUUUUGAUGUGUUUUUAGUGUUUUUCUGUGCAGGUCACGAGUUGAGGUGAUGAAGUGAUUUUCUAUCAUUUUAGGUUGUUUUUGGUGCAUUAUUUGCAAGAAUAGAGAAUUGUGGAUUCAUCACGACUUGGGAUUUUGUGGGUACAUCUUCUACAAACCCUCACGAGAACACACUCGUCCACUAGAGCUAUCUAGGGGUUUAAAGGGCUUGUUGCAUGUGCUAAAUGCAACCGUGAUCACCUACGGAAGUGGUACUAGAGCGAGGAAGGGCAUG
This 785-nucleotide long non-coding RNA is filed under the name Daucus carota (carrot). Its description in RNAcentral is "long non-coding RNA (DCAR_LNC004180)". Lineage: Eukaryota; Viridiplantae; Streptophyta; Magnoliopsida; Apiales; Apiaceae. The record is from RNAcentral.